Molecule: ribosomal RNA, 933 nt
Filed under: Escherichia coli
Lineage: Bacteria; Pseudomonadati; Pseudomonadota; Gammaproteobacteria; Enterobacterales; Enterobacteriaceae
Description: partial 23S ribosomal RNA
Rfam family: Bacterial large subunit ribosomal RNA
Source: RNAcentral
ACCUUUUGUAUAAUGGGUCAGCGACUUAUAUUCUGUAGCAAGGUUAACCGAAUAGGGGAGCCGAAGGGAAACCGAGUCUUAACUGGGCGUUAAGUUGCAGGGUAUAGACCCGAAACCCGGUGAUCUAGCCAUGGGCAGGUUGAAGGUUGGGUAACACUAACUGGAGGACCGAACCGACUAAUGUUGAAAAAUUAGCGGAUGACUUGUGGCUGGGGGUGAAAGGCCAAUCAAACCGGGAGAUAGCUGGUUCUCCCCGAAAGCUAUUUAGGUAGCGCCUCGUGAAUUCAUCUCCGGGGGUAGAGCACUGUUUCGGCAAGGGGGUCAUCCCGACUUACCAACCCGAUGCAAACUGCGAAUACCGGAGAAUGUUAUCACGGGAGACACACGGCGGGUGCUAACGUCCGUCGUGAAGAGGGAAACAACCCAGACCGCCAGCUAAGGUCCCAAAGUCAUGGUUAAGUGGGAAACGAUGUGGGAAGGCCCAGACAGCCAGGAUGUUGGCUUAGAAGCAGCCAUCAUUUAAAGAAAGCGUAAUAGCUCACUGGUCGAGUCGGCCUGCGCGGAAGAUGUAACGGGGCUAAACCAUGCACCGAAGCUGCGGCAGUGACGCUUAUGCGUUGUUGGGUAGGGGAGCGUUCUGUAAGCCUGUGAAGGUGUGCUGUGAGGCAUGCUGGAGGUAUCAGAAGUGCGAAUGCUGACAUAAGUAACGAUAAAGCGGGUGAAAAGCCCGCUCGCCGGAAGACCAAGGGUUCCUGUCCAACGUUAAUCGGGGCAGGGUGAGUCGACCCCUAAGGCGAGGCCGAAAGGCGUAGUCGAUGGGAAACAGGUUAAUAUUCCUGUACUUGGUGUUACUGCGAAGGGGGGACGGAGAAGGCUAUGUUGGCCGGGCGACGGUUGUCCCGGUUUAAGCGUGUAGGCUGGUUUUCCAGGCAA